UUAUUUGGUGGAUGGUAUUAUGAGAUGUUAUGCAUGACGUAUGCAGUAUGCUAAUGCAAAAGGAUUAAUUAUUUUCGUCUUUCUCUAAGGUUUUUUGUUUUUUCUCUUAUUCUUUCUUUUUUUUCAUUUUUUUGUUUCCAUCUCUUUUUCAUUCUUUUCUUCUUUCUUCUCUUUUCUCGCCUCCCCUAUCAUGUUUUGGCAUGUAACAGGUGAUCGAGGUACUCCCGCAAAAUUUUGCAAAGUCAAAUGAGGUGUCUUACUGGGGAUAUACGAUUUUCUCGCACAACAGGUAGCAACGGCUCC
RNAcentral lists this long non-coding RNA (303 nucleotides) under Lathyrus oleraceus (garden pea). Its description in RNAcentral is "Pisum sativum (pea) long non-coding RNA (PSAT_LNC012681)". Lineage: Eukaryota; Viridiplantae; Streptophyta; Magnoliopsida; Fabales; Fabaceae. The record is from RNAcentral.